AGAAGAGUUUGGCAAAAAAAAAAAAGCAGAGAAAAGGAACAAAGACAGAAAAAGAGGGGAAGAGAGAGGCAGAUUGGCAAGAGGGCUGAUUGCAGAGUGUCUAGUUGUAAGAUAAACGGUACAUGAAGAUCAUCUAGAUAGUUUCGCUGGAAGAGUGUGAGAGCUUGUCUUGUCAUGAAACAACUGAACUUUGUGCAGGCUUUCGUAACAAUGGCAGUUAGGCGUCCACCGUUGCAGCUUAGCUGUCAGGAUGAGUCUCUGCUUGUCCUCGUUUCCUGGUUCCUGUUACAAAGAUGGUUUUUCCACCUCACAAGUGUACUGUGACGUAUCCAGGCCGGCACAGAAUGCUGUUCCCUGCGGGCAAACAGGUGGACUGAAGAGCUGGCUGUGAUGGACAGGAGAGAGAUGCAGUAUCACGAGGCAUUUGUUGUAUUGUACACACGAACAAAAACUGCCUCAAAUAGUUAAUAGUGUGAAGAAGGGAAAAAAAGAGAGCUCUAAAGAGAGGUGUUCAAACUCUUUCUCACCUCUGCACAGCUGGCCAAUCAGGGUGUGAAGCGGGUGUCAGUGUGGGAUUGUAGAUUUUCGGGAAAGUUAAAGAAGUGGUCGAAUACAGCUCCCCUUAAUCCAGUGUUGGAAAGGUGUUUUGAGGAAGGAGUUUCCGAAGCUAUUCCACCAUCCAACAAGCAGUUCUGACGGAUUAUUUGACAUAUCUUAUUUUCUAGCUGUUCCGAACAGCCACACUCAAAGGCGGGCUGAAAAGCCGGCUUAACUGGGGAUGUUGUGGUUGUGGUAGUUCACCCUGGACCCCAAGACUCUUUUUAUUCUUUACAUUUUGGGUUCUCUGGGGGAGUGGAGGCGUGUAAUGCUGAGUGGCAGCAUGACAUGCAUACUUUAUAAGCAGAAGAAGCCGAAGCAGGUAUAACAAAGUCAAGGUUUAUUCAAAGAAUCUGUUUCUGUCAGCUCCUAUCAUAUCUUCUCUUUUUCCACUCGAGCCUAAUGUAUGAUAGUGUUCUUUAAUGAAAAUUUGAUAUCAGUUGUGUUUUUUUAUGUUUUAUUAUAUGAAAUGUAUCAUUAGAAGAAGUCUGAUAUACAACACUGAAAAUAAUCAAAUAAAUAACAGAAUUGGUUUUGAUUAUGAUAGUUAUAAUGAUCAUUUGUAAGAAAUAAAACCUGUAUAGAUGUGCAA
This is a long non-coding RNA of Dicentrarchus labrax (European seabass), 1189 nucleotides long. RefSeq lists it as uncharacterized. The record is from RefSeq and is a predicted model, not a curated record. NCBI's taxonomy places the organism in Eukaryota, Metazoa, Chordata, Actinopteri, Moronidae. The transcript has 3 exons.